RNAcentral lists this unclassified non-coding RNA (4092 nucleotides) under Hevea brasiliensis (rubber tree). Lineage: Eukaryota; Viridiplantae; Streptophyta; Magnoliopsida; Malpighiales; Euphorbiaceae. The record is from RNAcentral.
GAAAAAACCUAUCCAGAGCCAAAAUCAACAACUUAUUUGACAAGUUAAGCAGAGUAAAAGUACAAAGUAUGCAGCAAUUAAUCGUAAAUUACAGCUUAAUUGUUGUAAACUAAUAGAAUAAUUAAAGGUAUACCUUAUUGGUUGAGACUUGAAGGUCUAAGAAAUCGUCUUGAUAGACUUUCCUCUUUUGCUUGAUGUGCUUCGUGUUGGUUACAGUCCAUCUCUUCAAAUUCUCCAUUGCUGCGGAUACGAGAGUGGCUUUGCAAUUCUAAAUUUGGAGCUUUGAAAAGAGUUGAGAGACUAAAUUUCCAGGUGGCGGGAAAGGAUUUUUUUUUUUUCCGAGUUUUCAAAGAGGAAGAUUGAUCAAAAUAACGUCGUUUGGAGACAGCUCCCUCUGAGAAGGCUAAAUAUUAGGGACGACGUCGUGUCCAUUAUACUCGGCUAGUCGGCUAGGUUGGGUUGGUUUACCCGAGAGAAGAUUCGGGUUAGGAAGCUACACUGACCAAGCUAUGGGUGUUGCUGAACCUGAACAUUGUCGUUUCGUCGUUGAAUAGGAUAAUUUUAUUCCCGAAUUGCUCUUGUAUGGAAUGCGAGGACCAGGAGUUGGAACCGAUCUCUCUCCUCCACAGCUAAUUUCUCUUAUCCGUCACACAAAAAACCCUAAUUUUUGUUUUUAUUGUUCUAAUUUUUCACACUGGCCGUCAUCGAUAUCGUUAGUCCGCCAUCAAUUAUCGUCAAUUCCUCUGAACUAUAUUUGGAGCUACCAGGUCGUGGAAUCUCUAGGAGAUCAAGUUCUUCGCUAAAUUGGAUCUGCUUGCCAUUUUCGUUUUGGUGGGUAAAUUAACUCCGCUAUUUGUUUGAUUGUUUCAAAUAUGAUAUCAUGUAUGUUUUGAAAAUGGGCGAGAAAAUUAAGAAACGAAUUCAUCUUGUUAUCGUUUGAGUUUGCAUAUUGACUCUGCUUUGGAUACAACACGGCCUUUGUUACUGGCGGCGCAUGUAACCCUAUUAAACCAAAAAUUUUAUGGCUUGAGCGCAUAGAAUCUCUGUUUACUUUACUUUAGAUAUAUAUAUUACUUGGGAAUUUGAUUUCUUAUCUUUACUUCAUCCCACUGCUCUAGUACUCCACUUUGGUUUUAUAUUCUGGCGAGGCAAGGUGAGGUGACUAAGAACACAAGCCAUUGGUUAUUGGUGUGGAGUUAUAGAUAUUGGGUUGUGAUGAAAUUAUGCUAUUACUAAAUUUUUGAAAAUGAAAGUGGAGGGAGAGAUGAAUGAGAGGGUAGUCUCCACUCUCCUAUACAACGAUUUAAUCUUUAGAUUUUAGUGUUACUUUUAUAGGGAAAAAUUGUACUGAUUUCUGUUAUUUGACAAUCUGGUUUUGAGGACAGUUGAGAAUUACACUUGAGUCCGGGUUUUUGUUCUUAAUUUUGGGGUUCUUCUCUUUUUCACUUUGCAUAGAUGUUCACUGUGUCAGCUACUCCAUUUUUAUGAUCUUUGCUCUGAAUAUUUGUGCAGUAGUCUUCCGACUCCAUAUCAAUAGAUUUGGCUCUUUAAAAUCCUCUCAUUGUGCACAAGUUUGCUUUGUGGGACACCGUUUAUUGUCUUCGUCAGACAUGCUUCUCUCCUUCUGGAAUAGUACAUCACUGCAAUGUUUGCCUUUUCAUUUUGACAGCUUGUUUUAUUUUGGUCUUGGCAUGACUCUAUUUAUGCUGCAUUGAAAUCCUUCGAAAUUUAGAAUUUUGUGUGCAAUUGAUUUUGCAUUUGUGGGAAUUGUAAAAAAGACAAUCUUCUUUAGGCGAAAGGGAAGAGAAGAAAGGGGGGCAAUCUUUUGAAAUUUUACUAGAAAUCUAUCAACAAAGUAUUAUUUGUAGAUGAGGUGUUGUAGAUCUGGUCAUAGGAAAUCUGUGAAGCAUUUUUCAAUAAAAACAUGAGCAUUUUUCAAUAAAAACAUGUCCAAUCAUUUUGACUUCUAUCUCUUAUCUUCUUGAUAUCACCAACGAAAAUUAUUCCCUUGCCUAAUAAACUUCAGGGGGGUCACGACUGCAAUACUAACAGCUGUAGCAAACUGGUGCACCUUUUGAUCUUCAAUCUCCGUGUUAGAGUGGCAUCCUAUCUUGUAAGGAACCUGCGGCCAAAGCUGUUAUGCAGAAACCAUGGGAGAUGGCAACACCACAACCAACAAUAGAAGCAUCUCAACUAACUCCAACAACAAUGAGAAGCCAGAAUGGCUGCAACAGUACAAUCUGAUUGGCAAGAUUGGUGAAGGAACUUAUGGUCUUGUGUUCCUGGCAAAAACCAAGUCUCCUGCAAAUCGUGGAAAGUCCAUUGCCAUCAAGAAAUUCAAGCAGUCAAAGGAUGGAGAUGGUGUCUCCCCUACUGCCAUCCGUGAAAUCAUGUUGCUUAGGGAGAUUUCACAUGAAAAUGUUGUGAAGCUUGUGAAUGUGCACAUUAAUCAUGCUGAUAUGUCUCUGUAUCUGGCUUUUGAUUAUGCUGAACAUGAUCUUUAUGAAAUCAUUAGGCAUCACAGAGAUAAGGGUUCCCAUGGUAUUAAUCAGUACACGGUGAAAUCAUUGUUGUGGCAGCUGCUCAAUGGACUGAACUAUCUUCAUAGUAAUUGGAUCAUACAUCGAGAUCUAAAGCCAUCAAAUAUCCUGGUUAUGGGUGAGGGAGAUGAGCACGGGGUUGUUAAAAUUGCUGAUUUUGGACUUGCAAGAAUAUAUCAAGCUCCCUUGAAGCCAUUAUCUGAUAAUGGUGUUGUUGUAACCAUUUGGUAUCGUGCACCUGAGUUGCUUCUUGGAGCGAAGCACUACACAAGUGCUGUUGAUAUGUGGGCUGUGGGAUGCAUUUUUGCUGAACUCUUGACUUUGAAGCCACUUUUUCAAGGGGCAGAAGCCAAAUCCACGCCAAAUCCCUUCCAGCUUGAUCAGUUGGACAAGAUAUUUAAGGUCUUAGGCCAUCCUACACUUGAGAAGUGGCCAACACUUGCCAGUCUUCCACAUUGGCAAUCAGAUUUGCAACAUAUCCAAGGGCACAAGUAUGAUAAUACGGGAUUGCAUAAUGUUGUGCAUCUCUCUCCAAAAAGUGCUCCAUAUGACCUCCUAUCUAAGAUGCUUGAAUAUGAUCCUCGAAAGCGGAUAACUGCAGCACAGGCUCUAGAGCAUGAGUAUUUUCGGAUUGAACCUCUACCAGGACGCAAUGCCCUGGUCCCUUCUCAACCUGGAGAAAAAGUGAUCAACUAUCCUACUCGUCCAGUAGACACAAAUACAGAUUUUGAAGGAACAACUAGUCUUCAGCCUCCACAACCAGUAUCAUCCGGAAAUGCAGUUUCUGGAGGUAUGCCAGGUGCUCAUGGAGUGGCGAACAGAUCUGCUCCUCGGCCAAUGCCAAUGGGCAUGCAGAGAAUGCAAUCUCAGGCCAUGGCUGGUUACAAUAUUGCUCAGGCAGGGAUGGGAGGUGGAAUGAAUCCAGCUGGCCUACCAAUGCCAAGAGGUGUUGCUGCCCAGCCCCAUCAGCAGCAACAUUUACGGAGGAAAGACCCACCGGGAAUGGGGUCUGGAUACCCUCCACAGCAGAAAUCCAGGCGCCAAUAAGCGAAUGACAUUUGAUUGUGAGCUAUAAUUUAACUUCUGUUGGAGCACAAUCCUGUCCCUCUAGAAGGGCAUCCAAGUUCAAGUCCAAGUCCAACUCAUUAAGGUUUUUCAGUCAUGCCAUGUAUGGGACAUUUGGUCAGCUGCUGUACUGUAGACCUGUUUCUGACAUGGCAGCGUCAUCUGAGCUUGAGGAGGCACCUUAAUUGAUGCCUAUCAGUAUGAAUUUUGAGCUACAUAUCCAAAUGGCAAGGUACCAUGGUAGGAGAGGGUGCAAGAAAAUAUCUUGUAUUUGGAAUGGUUCCUUGACGUUGGUGGACUAAAGUUUGUCAUUUCUUACCCUUUUAAGGGAUGUAUAUCAGUGUAUGAAAUUAAUACGAGACAAAGGCUUCUUCUUCUUGCUUGUGAAGCAGAAUUCACACGUUCAUUUUGGUUCAACAACGUUGAAUUUCAUUGGGCUGUGUCUCUUGUUGUGCUAUAUCGUGGUUGGUAUUUUCACCUUCAAAAA